This 71-nucleotide transfer RNA is filed under the name Candidatus Tremblayella princeps. RNAcentral's name for it is "Candidatus Tremblaya princeps tRNA-Gly(CCC)". It matches the Rfam family "tRNA". From Rfam's summary of the family: Transfer RNA (tRNA) molecules are approximately 80 nucleotides in length. Lineage: Bacteria; Pseudomonadati; Pseudomonadota; Betaproteobacteria. The record is from RNAcentral.
AGGGAUAUAGUUGAUGCGGCAAAACACCAGAUCCCAAACUGGUUACGAGGGUUCAAGUCCUUCUAUCCCUG